CGUGGAUCAAUUUUAGUCUUCCUACAUCAGUUGUCUAUGAAUGUAUAUCUAAUUUAUAUCUUGCUCACUAUUCUUCAUGGGAGCGAAUGUGUGAUAGCUUCUUCGACAACAGGUUGAGGGAGUGGAUUCAGUAAAAAAGUAGAGGCAUUUUUGUAAGUGCGUCUUUUGCUAGAAUAGAAAGAAUUAAUAGAAAAUUAAUGCAAGGCAUUUAUGUAAAUGCAUUGCAUGUGUGUGCAUGUGCACUUGCAAUAUUGUGCAUUAUAAUUAAGUCACCAGUAAAAAAGUAGAGGCAUUUUUGUAAGUGCGUCUUUUGCUAGAAUAGAAAGAAUUAAUAGAAAAUUAAUGCAAGGCAUUUAUGUAAAUGCAUUGCAUGUGUGUGCAUGUGCACUUGCAAUAUUGUGCAUUAUAAUUAAGUCA
RNAcentral lists this unclassified non-coding RNA (417 nucleotides) under Hevea brasiliensis (rubber tree). The record is from RNAcentral. Lineage: Eukaryota; Viridiplantae; Streptophyta; Magnoliopsida; Malpighiales; Euphorbiaceae.